This 407-nucleotide ribosomal RNA is filed under the name uncultured bacterium. Its description in RNAcentral is "bacterial SSU rRNA". It matches the Rfam family "Bacterial small subunit ribosomal RNA", at positions 354 to 776 of the family's 1533-position model. The record is from RNAcentral.
GUGGGGAAUAUUGGGCAAUGGGCGCAAGCCUGACCCAGCAAUGCCGCGUGAAGGAAGAAGGCUUUCGGGUUGUAAACUUCUUUGACAGGGGAAGAGCAGAAGACGGUACCCUGAAAACAAGCCACGGCUAACUACGUGCCAGCAGCCGCGGUAAUACGUAGGUGGCAAGCGUUGUCCGGAUUUACUGGGUGUAAAGGGCGUGUAGCCGGGAAGGCAAGUCAGAUGUGAAAUCUGGAGGCUCAACCUCCAAAUUGCAUUUGAAACUGUUUUUCUUGAGUACUGGAGAGGCAGACGGAAUUCCUUGUGUAGCGGUGAAAUGCGUAGAUAUAAGGAGGAACACCAGUGGCGAAGGCGGUCUGCUGGACAGCAACUGACGGUGAGGCGCGAAAGCGUGGGGAGCAAACAGG